Long non-coding RNA from Vanessa atalanta (red admiral), 444 nucleotides. RefSeq lists it as uncharacterized. The record is from RefSeq and is a predicted model, not a curated record. The transcript has 3 exons. NCBI's taxonomy places the organism in Eukaryota, Metazoa, Arthropoda, Insecta, Lepidoptera, Nymphalidae.
UUUUUGUUUACAAUUCGGACGUAUCGUGAUCGCCAGUGAUUGAUUUGUUAUACAAUGGAUAUUAUCUGCAAAGGACACGAAAUACAAAGUGGAUGGCAGGAAAUUUAUACAGAUUUUGACAGCUGGAUAUGUAAAUAUAAUAAAUAUAAAUAUGGCAGAUCUUCAAAAUUCCAGAAACGGAAACACGACGAAGAUAUACCAAAAUCGUAUUACCAAAUCAACACUACGUCAGGCAAAAAAAAUAUAACCAUUGAAGAUUUAUUCGCUGAAGGAUUAAUAAUAAGUAAAUUUAAUUUAAUAAACACAAGCUCAAAUUGUUUAAGAAAAGAGCUGAGUAAUUUUUUAAACCUUACCAAAGACGGCGAUGGCUUUGUAAAUUACGAUUACGUUUUAUUAAAGUUAAUGAAUGGCGAACGAGAAUAUUUUUACCAAUAUAUGAAAUCA